Molecule: ribosomal RNA, 510 nt
Filed under: uncultured bacterium
Lineage: Bacteria
Description: partial 16S ribosomal RNA
Rfam family: Bacterial small subunit ribosomal RNA
Source: RNAcentral
GACGAACGCUGGCGGCGUGCUUAACACAUGCAAGUCGAACGAAGAGCGAUGGAAGCUUGCUUCUCUCAAUCUUAGUGGCGAACGGGUGAGUAACGCGUAAUCAACCUGCCCUUCAGAGGGGGACAACAGUUGGAAACGACUGCUAAUACCGCAUACGAUCUAAUCUCGGCAUCGAGGAUAGAUGAAAGGUGGCCUCUACAUGUAAGCUAUCACUGAAGGAGGGGAUUGCGUCUGAUUAGCUAGUUGGAGGGGUAACGGCCCACCAAGGCGAUGAUCAGUAGCCGGUCUGAGAGGAUGGACGGCCACAUUGGGACUGAGACACGGCCCAGACUCCUACGGGAGGCAGCAGUGGGGAAUCUUCCGCAAUGGACGGAAGGCUGACGGAGCAACGCCGCGUGAGUGAUGACGGCCUUCGGGUUGUAAAGCUCUGUUAAUCGGGACGAAAGGCCUUCUUGCGAAUAGUGAGAAGGAUUGACGGUACCGGAAUAGAAAGCCACGGCUAACUACGUG